ACAAUAUACAAGGUGCUGCAUGGUUGUCGUCAGCUCGUGCCGUGAGGUGUCGGUUAAGUCCCAUAACGAGCGCAACCCCUAUCAUUACGUUGCCAUCAGGUCAAGCUGGGGACUCUAAUGAAACUGCCUACGCAAGUAGUGAGGAAGGUGGGGAUGACGUCAAAUCAGCACGGCCCUUACGUCCAGGGCUACACACGUGCUACAAUGGCCGGUACAAAGGGCAGCUACCUGGUGACAGGAUGCUAAUCUCAAAAGACCGGUCUCAGUUCGGAUCGGAGUCUGCAACCCGACUCCAUGAAGUUGGAAUCGCUAGUAAUCGCGCAUCAGCAUGGCGCGGUGAAUACGUUCCCGGGCCUU
Molecule: ribosomal RNA, 357 nt
Filed under: uncultured Sphingobacteriales bacterium
Lineage: Bacteria; Pseudomonadati; Bacteroidota; Sphingobacteriia; Sphingobacteriales
Description: bacterial SSU rRNA
Rfam family: Bacterial small subunit ribosomal RNA
Source: RNAcentral